This 432-nucleotide ribosomal RNA is filed under the name uncultured bacterium. Its description in RNAcentral is "bacterial SSU rRNA". It matches the Rfam family "Bacterial small subunit ribosomal RNA", at positions 29 to 507 of the family's 1533-position model. The record is from RNAcentral.
AACGAACGCUGGCGGCAGGCCUAACACAUGCAAGUCGAACGCCGUAGCAAUACGGAGUGGCAGACGGGUGAGUAACGCGUGGGAACGUGCCCAAAGGUACGGAACAACUCCGGGAAACUGGAGCUAAUACCGUAUGUGCCCGAAAGGGGAAAGAUUCAUCGCCUUUGGAUCGGCCCGCGUCUGAUUAGCUAGUUGGUGGGUAACGGCCCACCAAGGCGACGAUCAGUAGCUGGUCUGAGAGGAUGAUCAGCCACACUGGGACUGAGACACGGCCCAGACUCCUACGGGAGGCAGCAGUGGGGAAUAUUGGACAAUGGGCGCAAGCCUGAUCCAGCCAUGCCGCGUGAGUGAUGAAGGCCUUAGGGUUGUAAAGCUCUUUUGUCCGGGAAGAUAAUGACGGUACCGGAAGAAUAAGCUCCGGCUAACUUCGUG